GCGGCGGACGGGUGAGUAACACGUGGGCAACCUGCCUGUAAGACUGGGAUAACUCCGGGAAACCGGGGCUAAUACCGGAUAAUUCUUUCCCUCACAUGAGGGAAAGCUGAAAGAUGGUUUCGGCUAUCACUUACAGAUGGGCCCGCGGCGCAUUAGCUAGUUGGUGAGGUAACGGCUCACCAAGGCAACGAUGCGUAGCCGACCUGAGAGGGUGAUCGGCCACACUGGGACUGAGACACGGCCCACACUCCUACGGGAGGCAGCAGUAGGGAAUCUUCCGCAAUGGACGAAAGUCUGACGGAGCAACGCCGCGUGAGUGAUGAAGGUUUUCGGAUCGUAAAACUCUGUUGUUAGGGAAGAACAAGUACCGGAGUAACUGCCGGUACCUUGACGGUACCUAACCAGAAAGCCACGGCUAACUACGUGCCAGCAGCCGCGGUAAUACGUAGGUGGCAAGCGUUGUCCGGAAUUAUUGGGCGUAAAGCGCGCGCAGGCGGUUCCUUAAGUCUGAUGUGAAAGCCCCCGGCUCAACCGGGGAGGGUCAUUGGAAACUGGGGAACUUGAGUGCAGAAGAGAAGAGUGGAAUUCCACGUGUAGCGGUGAAUGCGUAGAGAUGUGGAGGAACCCAGUGGCGAAGGCGACUCUUUGGUCUGUAACUGACGCUGAGGCGCGAAAGCGUGGGGAGCAAACAGGAUUAGAUACCCUGGUAGUCCACGCCGUAAACGAUGAGUGCUAAGUGUUAGAGGGUUUCCGCCCUUUAGUGCUGCAGCAAACGCAUUCAGCACUCCGCCUGGGGAGUACGGCCGCAAGGCUGAAACCUCAAGGAAUUGA
RNAcentral lists this ribosomal RNA (831 nucleotides) under Cytobacillus oceanisediminis. RNAcentral's name for it is "bacterial SSU rRNA". It matches the Rfam family "Bacterial small subunit ribosomal RNA", at positions 95 to 913 of the family's 1533-position model. The record is from RNAcentral. Lineage: Bacteria; Bacillati; Bacillota; Bacilli; Caryophanales; Bacillaceae.